Schistocerca serialis cubense is the source of this 1325-nucleotide long non-coding RNA. RefSeq lists it as uncharacterized. NCBI's taxonomy places the organism in Eukaryota, Metazoa, Arthropoda, Insecta, Orthoptera, Acrididae. The transcript is spliced from 2 exons. The record is from RefSeq and is a predicted model, not a curated record.
CGCUGGCCAAACCCGUAGAAAUAACGUUGCAGUGUUUUGAAUGAAAUUAAAUGUAGCGGCCCGUAAAUUUUACGGGCUUGGUGAUUUUCGCGCGAUCCCAGGCCCGUAAAUUUUACGGGCUUGGCGCUUAGAGUGUUAAGGAAAUCUACAUCAGGGUUGUCAGUGGAUAUCUGAACUCCACUUCCCCCAAAUGUGAUCACAGUGUGCUUAUCAUUAACUAUGAAUAUAAAUUUGGGAUAUACACUCUCCAAAACUGAUGGACAUAUACAUUAGCUAAUAAUAUUAUAAGAAGGAGGUUACAAGAAAAGUGUCUAAAUAUCAACAACUAUAUCUCAAAUAAAUUUCAUUGUGCAGGUCUAUGAUAGUCAGAUUCUGAUGAAUGAAUUAGUGAAUGAUUUUUAAAAAACAUCUAGGAAGUACUCAUUCUAACCAGAUUUUGAAAUUUCCAUAAGUACAUCACGUUUGUGACAUAAAUAUAACUGUAGGAAUCACACCAAUGAACAUUCUCUUGAAAGAUGAAUUGAGAACAUUGAAUUGUGGUAAUAGCUAAAAUGCAUCAUAAUUCAUGUUCAAGACAAAUGGCCUCAUUCAGUGAAUGUUAAACAAACAGGACUGUUACACCUUCACUUCACAAAAAGUGUAUUAUAAUAUAUAGGGGUGUGUUAAUAACAAUUCACGAGCCUAUAAAAAUAAAUGUGCAUGAAGCUGGUCACAAAUUUCUAGCAAUAUGUCUUGAUGAAUGAUCUCCCAGAAAAUCCUAGAGGAUUCUGAUCCUCUACAAUGUCAAUAAAUGAAUCACAAAAUCUUCUAGCCAAUCUUUUGUGAAUCAGUAUGUUGUUGAAAUCAAACAUAACAGACAUAAAACGAAAAUAUUAAAUUCUGUGUUUUAAAAUGACACCACACAUGACAAUCAAAUUUUAUACCACAUUUUGAAUGCCUGCAAACUGACAAAUUUAUGAUAUUUAUAUAAGUGCUUCCAGUAAUCCAUAAUAAGAUUGUAAGCUAAACUGCUGAACUGGUUUUGAUAAAAUUUGGUAUGUAAAUAAAUUGAACAUUUAGGAAGAACAUAGACAACUUUAGAAAGUUGAAUUACCUUCUAGUGUAGUGUCAAUAUUUUUAAAUAUGGGAUGUGGAUGACCCUUCAUGGAAUUUGGCAACUCAGAAGGUUUGUAGAUUAUUGCAUGAUGGUGCCAACUCAAAGUUUACUUAUAUGUGUGGUUUCUGAAAUUUUAAAAAUAAUUCUACACCAGCUGAUGAAGCUGGACAGUUUUUACAAUGAAAUAUUGUAGAGAUACAAUAAUAAAAUCUGCUGGUAAAUCCAAGAA